GACAUUCCAUUAAGAGGAGGGAACUUAGCAGAUCAGGACACUAAGUCACUGAACCAGAGUUCAGUGUGUCUACAUAAAAUCUAGGUAGGGAGUGGUAAAAGUUGAAGUUACAGAGGCAGGCAGAGGUCAGUGAUGGACGUCUCACUUAGGAAUCUGGACUUUAUCCAACAGCAGCAUGUGACCACUGGAGAGAAAGCAGCCAGUUUUCUAUCAGACAUUGGUUUUUCUAGCAGAGGGCAAAUAAUAAUUGGAGUGGUGCAGGACUGAAAGAGAAAAAGCACGGAGCCCUCCCCGCUCAGACGACGGGCCCCGGGAGUUUCCUACUCCCAGGCCACUCCGCACUCAGCCUCCAGCAGUUUACCAAAAUCACCAUGAAGUGCUCCUGCAGGCAUAUGGCCCCAGCGCCUUCUGUCCAGCUAAGGAGGUCUUGGCUGUGACUCUCUGCCUCUGCCUGCCUCUCCAGGUCACGGGAUGGAGCUGUGCCUGUGACCUCAGUCUCUGAUGAGCACAAGUUUCUGGACGUCACCUGCAUUCCUUGUUCAUGGAUCCUUCCUCUGUAUGCAAAGCAAGAAAUGGAGCAUCUUCAACUCUUUCUCUGAUCGUUACUCUCCUGCCUCCCUCUCUGACUUGUAAGUACCCUUACGACGGCAUCGAGUCCACCAGAAAAUCCACACACCAGAAAGGUCCCUGCAGCCGUGUAUGGGGAGCUAUUCUCAGGGGCUGGUGACGAGGACACGGGCCUCUUCAGCAGGUGUUAUUCUGCUUAUCACAGGCGCCACUGGUCAGGAGGCAACAAUUGGAUUUACCCUUUGAUCUACUCAAGGGAGUGUGGGGAGAGAAGCAGACUCUCUCCUCUGUUUUCCAUCUUCUUUUUCCCCUAUUCCCUCUUCCCUUGCGUUUCUCAGCAUCAGGGGUAAGUCUCUUGCCCUGCUCCGUUUUCCUCAACUUGAAAGUUUUCUGCAUACUGGAAGUCUAUGAUCAGACUUGCACAAGAAAUGAAAUGAACAGUAACAGCUGGCCAGGACUGGUGUGAGUGCUGUCAGGACAAGUUAGCUCUCCUUUCAUGUAAAAAUACCCAAGGGCAGGGCUCCCCAUCGGUGUCCCAGAAAAGGUGACAUGACCACUCUGUUUUCGUGACCUUGGACAGCGCAGUGGCCUGAAGGACAUGGUAGUAAAAACUGAGUAACCAUGGGAGAAGCUAUCAGGACGGAGAGAGAACACCUUUCACCUUCCCAGGGCAGAGACUGCAGCUUCUUUUUAAAAACUCCUUCUCAAACAUCUGAGCUGCCUUCUUAAAGUCCUCCUUAAAAACCCCAUUCACUUUGUUAGGAAAACGAAGGAGGAAAGAUGGGAGGCAGCAGGGCCUAGAUUCCAAGGACUCUUCCCAUACCUCUGUGAGCACAGGGCUAUGAAAUGACAGCUGUGUUCCGUGAGGAAUGAUGCAAUUAUUCACUUUGGUUUCAGUUUUCUUAUGAGUAAAAAGUUAGGAGCCUGGAUAGAGGGUUUCUAUGCUUAUGAGUUUCCCUGUUUUGUGAAUCUGGUUCUAAAUAGGUUGAUCCAGGCAGCCCCAGAGUUCCCCCAGGCUCCCCCUGCAGAACAGUGAUUUCUCCGUUCUUAAGCAACUUUUCUAGAUGAAGGACUCUUUGAUUGCCCGUUAGUAGUUGGGGUCCGUCCUGUCUUAUCUUGGGCCACCUGUGAUAGUCCAAGAAUGUCAGUUUGCCAUGUGGUUGCUGAUUCAACUUUAAAGCUUGUAGAACUACCUGGAAAAGAAUCAACCUUUGGGUUUUUUCUCCUAUAGCUUUGUAGCAAAUAUGAAUGACUUUACAAGUAAUUAUGUCAUCAUUUCCUUCUCUCAUUUCUUUUUAAAUAAACUGUUCUGAUUAUAAAUUACUACAUGUUCAUUGUUGAAAACAUGGAGAAUACAGAAAAUUGUAUUGUCUACAGUAUUUAAUACACAAAUAAAAAUUGUUAGUAAUCCCA
This is a long non-coding RNA of Camelus dromedarius (Arabian camel), 1980 nucleotides long. RefSeq lists it as uncharacterized. Lineage: Eukaryota; Metazoa; Chordata; Mammalia; Artiodactyla; Camelidae. The record is from RefSeq and is a predicted model, not a curated record. The transcript has 3 exons.